Molecule: ribosomal RNA, 253 nt
Filed under: uncultured bacterium
Lineage: Bacteria
Description: partial 16S ribosomal RNA
Rfam family: Bacterial small subunit ribosomal RNA
Source: RNAcentral
UACGAAGGGUGCGAGCGUUAAUCGGAAUUACUGGGCGUAAAGAGCACGUAGGCGGUUUGAUAAGCGGAAUGUGAAAUCCCCGGGCUUAACCUGGGAACUGCAUUCCGAACUGUCAGGCUAGAGUAUGAUAGAGGUGAGCGGAAUUUCCUGUGUAGCGGUGAAAUGCGUAGAUAUAGGGAGGAACAUCAGUUGCGAAGGCGGCUCACUGGAUCAAUACUGACGCUGAGGUGCGAAAGCGUGGGGAGCGAACAGG